GGUUCUAUAGUGUAGCUGGUUAUCACAUCGGAUUCUGAUUCCGGUAACCUGAGUUCGAAUCUCGGUAGAACCU
This 73-nucleotide transfer RNA is filed under the name Martensiomyces pterosporus. RNAcentral describes it as "tRNA-Gln". It matches the Rfam family "tRNA". From Rfam's summary of the family: Transfer RNA (tRNA) molecules are approximately 80 nucleotides in length. Lineage: Eukaryota; Fungi; Kickxellomycota; Kickxellomycetes; Kickxellales; Kickxellaceae. The record is from RNAcentral. RNAcentral also lists the same sequence under 2 other names.